AGCAUAAUCAUUAGUCUAUUAAUUGUGGACUUGUAUGAAUGGUUUGACGAAAUAUUAUCUGUCUCUUAAUAAUUAUUAGAAUUUAAAUUUUUAGUUAAAAUGCUUAAAUUUAUUUAGAGGACGAGAAGACCCUAUAGAUCUUUAUUAUUGAAUAAUUAAAAUAUUUUUGGUUUUUAUUUUAUUUAUUUGUUUGGUUUUUUAGUUGGGGUGACGUGAAAAUAUAAUUAACUUUUUAUUUUAUUUUUCAUUUAUUUAUGAUUAAUUGACCUUUUAUUAUUGUUAAAAGAUAUAGAUACCUUAGGGAUAACAGCGUAAUUUUUUCUGAGAGUUCUUAUUGACGAAUAAGAUUGCGACCUCGAUGUUGGAUUAAGAUAAAGUUUGGGUGUAGAUGCUUAAAAUUUUAGGUCUGUUCGACCUUUAAAUUCUUACA
This 430-nucleotide ribosomal RNA is filed under the name Phobaeticus serratipes. RNAcentral describes it as "partial 16S ribosomal RNA". The stretch from base 303 to 430 matches the Rfam family "Bacterial large subunit ribosomal RNA", at positions 2473 to 2600 of the family's 2925-position model. The record is from RNAcentral. Lineage: Eukaryota; Metazoa; Arthropoda; Insecta; Phasmatodea; Phasmatidae.